Molecule: transfer RNA, 71 nt
Filed under: Asymmetron sp. A TK-2007
Lineage: Eukaryota; Metazoa; Chordata; Leptocardii; Amphioxiformes; Branchiostomatidae
Description: tRNA-Ser
Rfam family: tRNA
About the family: Transfer RNA (tRNA) molecules are approximately 80 nucleotides in length. Their secondary structure includes four short double-helical elements and three loops (D, anti-codon, and T loops).
Source: RNAcentral
GGAAAUGUGGCAGAGAACAUGCAAUUGGCUUGAAACCAAUAGACAGAGGUUUAAAUUACCUCUUGUUUCCG